GGGCUUGUGGCUCAGUGGUAAAGCGCUUGUCUGGCACGCGAGGGGCUCUGGGUUCGAUUCUCAGCACCA
Molecule: non-coding RNA, 69 nt
Organism: Ictidomys tridecemlineatus (thirteen-lined ground squirrel)
Lineage: Eukaryota; Metazoa; Chordata; Mammalia; Rodentia; Sciuridae
Source: Rfam